Molecule: ribosomal RNA, 468 nt
Filed under: uncultured bacterium
Lineage: Bacteria
Description: partial 16S ribosomal RNA
Rfam family: Bacterial small subunit ribosomal RNA
Source: RNAcentral
GACGAACGCUGGCGGCGUGCUUAACACAUGCAAGUCGAACGGAAAGGCCCUGCUUUUGUGGGGUGCUCGAGUGGCGAACGGGUGAGUAACCCGUGAGUAACCUGCCCUUGACUUUGGGAUAACUUCAGGAAACUGGGGCUAAUACCGGAUAGGAGCUCCUGCUGCAUGGUGGGGGUUGGAAAGUUUCGGCGGUUGGGGAUGGACUCGCGGCUUAUCAGCUUGUUGGUGGGGUAGUGGCUUACCAAGGCUUUGACGGGUAGCCGGCCUGGGAGGGUGACCGGCCACAUUGGGACUGAGAUAAGGCCCAGACUCCUACGGGAGGCAGCAGUGGGGAAUAUUGCACAAUGGGCGGAAGCCUGAUGCAGCAACGCCGCGUGCGGGAUGACGGCCUUCGGGUUGUAAACCGCUUUCGCCUGUGACGAAGCGUGAGUGACGGUAAUGGGUAAAGAAGCACCGGCUAACUACGUG